UGCACUUUUCUAUUUGGCGCUUAGACGUUAUGGGAAAGUUGUCUCUCUCCCUCAUCUCGCUCCCUCUCCCCAUACCUCCCUCCUCCUCCUCUUCUUCUAUCAUGUGCUUGGGAUAUGCUCAUGCUUUGCACAGAGCAGCCGAAGCACGUCUAAUGCAGGCUACUGAGUGUUAGCGGCAAUUUUAAAGUGAUGCCCCCCCUCCCAACCACAUAAUACGGCUGGGAUACUUGAGGGGACCAUAUACCACAUCACGGUACACACGGACCCCACUGAACACUGGUGUACUUCUCCUGCUUGGGACGCUUUCUGGACGAUUGCAGUGAACUGACUCUCCUAGGAAUGAUGGAGACAUUGAGCUGUGGAGAACUGAAGGCAGCAGGAAGUAGAAGACCCCCAUGAGGUUGGAUGGUGACCUCGUAGAUCAUGACCCAGAAACAAAUGGCUGACUGAAGUCUCCAGACAAAGGAUGUCAAGGAUAUUCAGCUGAUCUCAGAGGUAUACAAGUUCUUCUGAUCAACAAGAGAUGAGCUUGAAUAUCGUCAAGACCGAAGCUUCAAGAUGUCCCAUCCGAAAUCUCACAAUCUCUAGGAGUUUCAUGUUACUCUCUACGACUCUUGAACCUGCACCAUAUUCUUGUUUCAGUCUUUGUGUCAAAUGGUGAUAUAAGAUUGACCAAACUGAAAAGUAUUGUGACCUUGCACUAAUAUAUAUAUAUGUAUUUAUUUGUAUAUGGGAGAAUACUUUAUAAGAAGAAAUUAUGAAAAUAUACUCCACUUUGAAAAUUGCAUUUAUUUCAUGUAACUGAUUGAGUCUAACAAGUAUAUUUUUUGACAGCAAAAUAAAGGCAUUUUUUUUACUUAAA
Gymnodraco acuticeps is the source of this 862-nucleotide long non-coding RNA. RefSeq lists it as uncharacterized. Lineage: Eukaryota; Metazoa; Chordata; Actinopteri; Perciformes; Bathydraconidae. The record is from RefSeq and is a predicted model, not a curated record. The transcript is spliced from 4 exons.